GAUGAACGCUGACAGAAUGCUUAACACAUGCAAGUCAACUUGAAUUUGGGUUUUUAACUUAGGUUUGGGUGGCGGACGGGUGAGUAACGCGUAAAGAACUUGCCUCACAGCUAGGGACAACAUUUGGAAACGAAUGCUAAUACCUAAUAUUAUGAUAAUAGGGCAUCCUAUAAUUAUGAAAGCUAUAAGCGCUGUGAGAGAGCUUUGCGUCCCAUUAGCUAGUUGGAGAGGUAACGGCUCACCAAGGCGAUGAUGGGUAGCCGGCCUGAGAGGGUGAUCGGCAACAAGGGGACUGAGACACGGCCCUUACUCCUACGGGAGGCAGCAGUGGGGAAUAUUGGACAAUGGACCGAGAGUCUGAUCCAGCAAUUCUGUGUGCACGAUGAAGUUUUUCGGAAUGUAAAGUGCUUUCAGUUGGGAAGAAACAAAUGACGGUACCAACAGGAGAAGUGACGGCUAAAUACGUG
RNAcentral lists this ribosomal RNA (467 nucleotides) under uncultured bacterium. RNAcentral describes it as "partial 16S ribosomal RNA". It matches the Rfam family "Bacterial small subunit ribosomal RNA", at positions 28 to 507 of the family's 1533-position model. The record is from RNAcentral.